CUCGUUAGGAAACUAUUUCAUGAAUCUGAGUGAGUAAGAAGACAGCCUACAUCACAUCAGGGGUUUGGUGGGAAAGGAGACUGCGAGACAGUUUGCGUUCUCUCGUGGUAGAAUGACACAGUUUGGUAACCGGUUGACUGAAGAGGGUUGAAUGAGGACGAGGGGGUGGUGGUUGAAAGAUGGUUAAAUAUGAUCCUGAGUUUACAUGCCUGUGCUAGGAACACAGAAAAAAAGAACACAGGAAAUGCAUGGGGGAUGAGAGAAGAUGCCUUCCCACUGUCCCAAACACAGUCUGUUGCAGCCUUCUUUGGAUUCUUUAAUGUAUAGCUGUCUCUCAAGGCAUCUGAACUCUAUCCCUGUUCUUCAGACUUCCCCUUUGCCCCAUCUCCAGCUGGCUAAAUCUUCAUUUUCUCCAAGAGCCUCGUUUGAUUCCCAUAAUCUGGGUCAGAACCCUUUUCUAGAUUCUUGCCUUUCUUUUCCAUAUGUCUCACUGGAAAGUGACUGCUGUCCCAGAAAGCCUGUCAUUUCCCCGAGGGCAGGACCCAUGUCUGCCUUAUUUCCUGCUCUAGUUGCAGAACUGAGGACAUUGCCUAGCACACAGUAGGCACUCACAUUGGGCUUGGAGCAUCCACAGCUGUACCUGGAAAUAAGAGUUCACCGAUAGUUCAGAUCCAGACCCACGAGGAGAGAACAGCAUUCUGGGAUAUGUAGUUUCCAGACUGGUUGUCAUCACUUAUGGAGGGACUACUCUGACAGAAACCCGGAAGGACAACGAAGCCCACUAUUUUGCAGGAGGCAGCUGAGGACAACCUGAGGCAGCUGAGGCCUCCUGUGUUGGAUGAAGAGGGCUAAUUCUUCUGGCUUAAAGACAUAGUGCAAUAGGGACAGCUAUUCAGUGACAAGUUUCAUGAGAUCCUUUCUGCACUGUUCUCCCUGUCUGGAAAAGCCACCAGCUGGUAAUGCUAUAGUCAAGCAGUCAUUCUACAUAGCCACACCUAGUGAUGUGAUCAUUGGUAGCCUCACCUGGUUUGAAUUUCCAAAACACACUUCUGGAAAAGUAAGGGGACUGAGUUACAGAUCCAGGGUGUAGGAAAAAUCCCCCUGAAAACUGUAUCUUAGACCCCGGUGGCCAGAGAUGCAGGCGUAGUAGAAAAGCAUGAUUUGGUCUUUUCAUGGGAGCCCAGCCCAGACCCAGACGAAGCUCCUGUUCUAAGGGCCAUGAUUGAAAUUCCUCGUGGAAAGUCUGUCUUUGAGACACCAAGACACCUCAUUUAAUUCCCAUUUCCUUUUUAAGUCAGGUCCCUCCUUCCUGAGAACCACAUUUAAAGUUGCUAGCUGGCUUUCCUUCUGUUUUUGCUAUUUGUGUGCCAACUUCAAGGGUGGGGAGAGCCACGUUAAUUUAAAAAUAUAGCACAAAUAGCAAAACGAGGCUUGAUUUAAGGUAAAAACCACAGAAAGGGUUUUCCCCUUCCCUUCUGUGUUUUUCAGACUUUCCUAGAUCCACUAUUAAUUCUUCAGAGCCCAGACAUAGAAAGUGAUUGAGGCACACUGGAUGCUCUUCCAGACUAAAACAAAAAGCCUCCAGUGGACUCUCUCAUUGCCCCUUCAGACUUUAUUUUAAAGAGGGCUUAAGAAAGCUGGCCAAACUCCAUUCAUGGUAGGAUCUUGCUAAGCACCCUAGAUUUGGUGUUAUAAACUACCCUUUUGGAUCAGUUGUCCACUUGGGCAUCUUGGUUUUGGGAAUGUGGCUUUAAGAGUAGAGUUCCUAGAUCAAAUCCUGGCCUCAUUAUUUAUUAGUUUUCUGACUUUACAUCAAUGGGAAUCAUGAUUCACAAUGUUCAGUCCAUAGUGAGUCAAGGUCUAAAAAGAGCCUGGAGCAAAAGGAGCGACCAAUAGGCGGUGGCUAUUAUGAAAAUAGACCGUUUCAUCUGUCGGCUCCCUCUUUAGUCUCCAUUUCCGGUUUUGGAAAGGAAAGAAAAUUCGUUAUCUAUUUCAAGUGGAGGAUCUACCUCCAUUUUAAAUCACUCAGGGACUCACCAGAAGGGGAGGCCAGACCGCACUGAAUUUGCAAUACCCAGGCCUUUAAACCGAAUGGAAGCCCCAUUCUUGCCACUUAACAGAACACGGGCGAGCAGAUUGGGACUUGGGAAGCCUCGAAGGGAUAGCAAUUGCUCAGUCUAAAGACACAGGUCUAAGAUACGUGGGUGGGGGAAUUCACCUGAAGAAGGAAAGCCUCUGCAAGUGUCUGUAGGCAGAGCUGACAGUAGUGAAACUCCAUGCGCGUGCGGCAGCGCCCUCUGCCGGCCUCGGGGAGGGCAAAUCUGGAGCCUGGCCCCACGGCUGGUCAAAUGGGACUCCGGAUCCUUUCUGCUGCCUCCGCCCCCGCUCCGUCCCUUCCCGUGAUCGCGCAGCCUGGUCUGGGACUGGAUUCCAGGAGAGGCGUCCCCAUCCUACGCCUGAAGGCAGAGCAAGGACGCUGCUCUAAAACACCCGGUUCAUCAGCAGAGCGGAGGCUGCAGGAACCUACCCAAACCCACCUGGGGCUGCUUUUGCCUCCCGGAAACCCGGGCAGAAGCCUGCGGGGCGGUCGGAGGUGGUUUGGAAGUGGCAUCGCCUAUGGCCAAGACCGAGGGUUCUGCGGACAGAGAGGAGCCCUGGGUUCGCUUUCUGCCUCAUCCAGCUAGGUGACCUUGGGCAAGGUACUUAAAUUUCCAUGUGCCUUGUUUUCCUCAUCAAUAAGAUGGAGAGAACGCUCCCGACCUUAACGGGUUGGCUUGAGGAUUACAAGAGAACAGACAGCCUAGGUUGGGAUUCUGGCAUUGACACCAGCUAGCUGUGUGCCCUGGGGCAGGCUACUUAACCUCUCUGCCCUGGUUUCCUGCAAAAUGGGGAUCACAACGGUGCUUACCUCCGAGGGUUGUUGCCUGCAAAGCGCUUAACACUGCCUUGGCAGAGUAAGCGCUCAAUAAACUGUGGCUAUUA
Molecule: non-coding RNA, 2982 nt
Organism: Cricetulus griseus (Chinese hamster)
Lineage: Eukaryota; Metazoa; Chordata; Mammalia; Rodentia; Cricetidae
Source: RefSeq, a predicted model, not a curated record